RNAcentral lists this ribosomal RNA (442 nucleotides) under uncultured bacterium. RNAcentral describes it as "partial 16S ribosomal RNA". It matches the Rfam family "Bacterial small subunit ribosomal RNA", at positions 338 to 795 of the family's 1533-position model. The record is from RNAcentral.
CCUACGGGAUGCAGCAGUGGGGAAUAUUGGGCAAUGGGCGCAAGCCUGACCCAGCAACGCCGCGUGAAGGAAGAAGGCCUUCGGGUUGUAAACUUCUUUUGUCAGGGACGAAGAAAGUGACGGUACCUGACGAAUAAGCCACGGCUAACUACGUGCCAGCAGCCGCGGUAAUACGGAGGAUGCGAGCGUUAUCCGGAUUUAUUGGGUUUAAAGGGUGCGCAGGCGGAGGCACAAGUCAGCGGUAAAAUCGCGGGGCUCAACCCCGCUCCGCCGUUGAAACUGUGUCCCUUGAGUGCGCGAAGGGUAGGCGGAAUGCGUGGUGUAGCGGUGAAAUGCAUAGAUAUCACGCAGAACUCCGAUCGCGAAGGCAGCCUACCGGCGCGCAACUGACGCUCAUGCACGAAAGCGUGGGUAUCGAACAGGAUUAGAUACCCUUGUAGUC